This 204-nucleotide long non-coding RNA is filed under the name Musa acuminata (dwarf banana). RNAcentral describes it as "long non-coding RNA (MACU_LNC001928)". The record is from RNAcentral. Lineage: Eukaryota; Viridiplantae; Streptophyta; Magnoliopsida; Zingiberales; Musaceae.
ACCCUUGAAGUGAGUUCCGCCACAACUUCCUGCAGGUGUUGCACGGAGUCUUUGGUGUCAUCUGACAAUCGGUCGACUAGGGCCUCGACCUUGUCGAUCUUGGACUUCGCUUCCUCUUGCAAGCUCUCUACCCCAACAAGCCUUUGUUGGCCAUGGUAGAGUUCCUCCACGCUCGCUUCAAGAACAUCCAGGCGGGUUUCCGCC